ACGAACGCUGGCGGCAUGCCUAACACAUGCAAGUCGAACGAGACCUUCGGGUCUAGUGGCGCACGGGUGCGUAACGCGUGGGAAUCUGCCCCUCGGUUCGGAAUAACAGUUAGAAAUGACUGCUAAUACCGGAUAAUGACGUAAGUCCAAAGAUUUAUCGCCGAGGGAUGAGCCCGCGUAGGAUUAGCUUGUUGGUGGGGUAAUGGCCCACCAAGGCGACGAUCCUUAGCUGGUCUGAGAGGAUGAUCAGCCACACUGGGACUGAGACACGGCCCAGACUCCUACGGGAGGCAGCAGUGGGGAAUAUUGGACAAUGGGCGAAAGCCUGAUCCAGCAAUGCCGCGUGAGUGAUGAAGGCCUUAGGGUUGUAAAGCUCUUUUACCAGGGAUGAUAAUGACAGUACCUGGAGAAUAAGCUCCGGCUAACUCCGU
This 431-nucleotide ribosomal RNA is filed under the name uncultured bacterium. Its description in RNAcentral is "bacterial SSU rRNA". It matches the Rfam family "Bacterial small subunit ribosomal RNA", at positions 29 to 506 of the family's 1533-position model. The record is from RNAcentral.